AGAAUCUUAAUAAGUUUUAAUAAAUUUUAAUAAAUUUUAAUGAAUCUUAAUAACUUUUAAUGAAAAGGGUCAAUUGAGAGAGAUUUUUAGUAAAAUAUUUUAGUAAUAUAUUUCCAUUAUCUUGGAUGUUUUGUUUUAGAAUGCGCUCCAAUCCAAAAGCAAUAGGUCUGUUUUUUAGCUGAACUUCUUGCACGAUUCAGCAGUCUUCUUUUUCUGUUCAUUGGAGAGAUAAAGAAAAAAAUUCAACUGUGCAACAAGUUCAAUUAAAAAUAAGAGAGCGUUCCCACCGAGCGCGUAACACGUCGCAUCGUUUUUCGCGUCCAAUCAAAACGUCUCAUUUUAUUAUGAUAAAAUAUAAUACAUGUUUUGAAUGAACGCGAAGGACGACGCGACGCAUGACGCGCUCGGUAGGAACGCUUCCUAACGGAUCUAGCACGCUGCCGCGGCACGCGCAGGCGCACGGCUGUAACAUUGGCGUGUCGCGUGCGUGCCACGUGCGACGAAUGCGACGAUCAGUGUUAACUGUGAACCGAGUGUAGUAAGACGUGCGUGUUUAUGAGGUUUAUUUUUUAUUCCUGCACUGCUGUACUAGUGCAAUAAGUUAGAAUAAGAAAAAAUAUAUUUGUCUUAUUCUAACUUAUUACACCAGUGCAGCAGUGUAAGAAUAAAAAACAAACCUUGGACUUCGUUCUGGGCAGUCGACGUGAUCCGACUCCUCUCUCCUAAUAUACAUUAUUAUAAUUCAAUAUCGUUUAAUCAUCGAGUGAAGACAUAAUCGUCUACAAAUACUUGGCAUUCUUCGGCGCCCGUAUUUCUGAAUAAGUCAAAGAUUCCUCAUUAUCAGAAACUUGUGGGGUUAUUCCGGCACCUGGUAAAGAGAGAUAGGCGUUACAAUUUCGCCCGUCACGGUACAGCCAUAUUAGAGGAGUUUGCUGUGUGCUUAUUGCGUAGUUACUUGUAACAAUAUCGAAGAAAAUCCUAAUUGAAUCGCGCCCAUAUAACCUAAGAGGUGAGUUUUCCACGGUAACGUAGCUCAACAAGUUAUCUGUCCUUUAUUUUAAUAAUAUUAAUCUUCUUAUAUUCGGAUAUAUUGCGUAGUUACUUGUAUACCACGAGGAUCGCUAUUCAAUAAACUGUUGGCCUAUGAAAAGAUAUUAUUUUCAACAAUACCAAAGAAAAUUCCAAUUAAGUUGCCCAUAUAACCAAAGAGUUACUUGUAUACCACGAGGAUCGCUAUUCAAUAAACUGUUGGCCUAUGAAAAGAGAUUAUUUUCAACAAUACCAAAGAAAAUUCCAAUUGAGUUGCCCAUAUAACAAACUCGCCAAUUUCAAAGUUCCGAAGAAAUUGAAACUAUUGACAUUUGGUGUAAUCUUCCACUGAAAGAUGAAAGGAGUCUACAAGAAUUAGAAAUUAAGCUUAAGGAGAACGAAAAUUAUAGGAAAAAAAUGAUUAAAGAGUUUGCAAAUUUAGGAGGCCAAAAUGUGAAAACUUCAGCUUUAAAACUAAUGCGGAAAAUAUUUACAAACGAACUCGCCGUUCAAUAUAGCUGGGUCGGAGGCAAAAAGAAAAAUAUUUUUGUGGACUUAAUGAUAUGCAAAGUUAUACUUAGUGCGUUGAGAAAACAUUAUCAAAAUUCUACGGAGGAAGAACUGUCAGCUCCGAUAAAAAUUUGGCUCGCUCACGCCAAAGAGCGAUGUUCAAAAGCUACGCUUAACACGCAGAAUUAAUUUUGUUUUUCGCAAUUUUUUUGUUGCGCUGUUUCCAAAGUGUAUACUCCCGAGAAAACUGUAUUCUCAGGGAAUUUUAUUAUUUUAUAUAAGUUAUAUAAAAUAAUAAAAUUUCUCCUAUAUUUUA
This is a long non-coding RNA of Monomorium pharaonis (pharaoh ant), 1855 nucleotides long. RefSeq lists it as uncharacterized. The record is from RefSeq and is a predicted model, not a curated record. Lineage: Eukaryota; Metazoa; Arthropoda; Insecta; Hymenoptera; Formicidae. The transcript is spliced from 4 exons.